AAUUGAAAAUAGCAAACUUAUCGAAAGGUAAGGACGCAAAGCUAUGAGUCUAAAGCGUGUAUAUGUCAUGAUCGUCAAGCUGCCAAU
Molecule: non-coding RNA, 87 nt
Filed under: Lutispora thermophila
Lineage: Bacteria; Bacillati; Bacillota; Clostridia; Lutisporales; Lutisporaceae
Also listed under: 1 other name
Description: c-di-GMP sequence
Rfam family: c-di-GMP-I riboswitch aptamer
About the family: GEMM was predicted in a large-scale screen for bacterial structured RNA regulatory elements.
Source: RNAcentral